Molecule: long non-coding RNA, 1437 nt
Organism: Leptidea sinapis
Lineage: Eukaryota; Metazoa; Arthropoda; Insecta; Lepidoptera; Pieridae
Exons: 2
Source: RefSeq, a predicted model, not a curated record
UCGAGAAAUGGAUAACAUCACCCGCGUUCGCCUGCGGGGAGGGAAAUUAACGCAUAAUAUGUUAGCGUUCACUGAAUGAAGACGUACCUAUCAUUCGUAGCUAGUGAUAAUUCUAUUUAGUUUAUUUGUGAUGGAGUGGAAUAAAAAAAAUACUUUGUUUUUUAUACAACUAAUAACAGAAAGACCGGUUCUUUGGGAUGUUUCAUUGGAAGAUCAUAAAAAUAAAUACAAAAAGCUGGAUGCACUGUUGGAAAUAGCACGCAUUUUACGUAUAACAAAAGAGGAUGUAAAUUCAAAAUGGUUAAGUCUAAAGGGCCAAUAUAAUAGAGAGAAGAAGAAAGUGAAUGGGCUUGGAACGGGUAGUGGAGCAUCCGAAAUUUAUACUUCCAAGUGGUUUGCUUACCAGGAAAUGGCUAGUCUGUUGUCUUGCAACGAUCCCCAAGCCACCACAUCAAAUUUACACUAUAAUGCGAUAUCACCACAGCCUGCAUCCUCACCACCACUACCAACUAUGCCGACACAACCGAUAGGUUUGCCGACACCAAACCCAAUGAGAAUCAAGGGAACAGAUAUAAUAGAAAGAAAGGGAAAUUCUGGUUUAUAUGGAGAGGCUUUGCUUACUUUACAAGCAACUAAAGAAAGAAAAAGUAAAACACAGGACCCAGAAGAUGAAAUCACCAUUUUCGGACAUUACAUUGCUGCUCAAAUGCGCAAAUUUCAACCUGUUUUACAAAGCAAGCUGAAAUUGGAUAUUCAAACUCUGCUUUGUAAAUAUGAAAUUGAUAACUUGGAAUAUACAAGCAGAUCGGCCUCCAGUAAUAAUUCGGUGAAUUUCAAUAUAAACACAUUACUAAAUGAUGAGUCUUCCAGUCGAUCCAGUCCGAUUUAAACGCCCGAUCCGAUUUAAACGUACAAACAGCCGGAAACACAAAUCUUGCAAGCCACGUCCACCUCAGGUUCUACUACCACCACUACCAGUACCUACACUACCUGUUGUCUACCAGCCAAUCCACUUGAAAUCAAAUCAAAGAGAUUUUUAGUCAUUUCAAACGAUGGGACAAUAAGGGAAGUCACUCAAAUGCUUCACCAAAUUCACUGGUUAUUACUUAUUAUUUUAUAAAAUGAAACCAUAAGCUCUGUUACAUAUGCAAUAGAUAUACCAGAAAAAACAAUUGAAUAUGUUUCAAAAUCUCAUAAUUAAACUUUUAUUGUUACUUAAUAUUUUCUUUAUAUAAGCAUAUUAAUAUUGUAUAAAUUUAAAAUAAGAAUAAAAUCUAUAUAUGUAAAAAUGAAUUGCUGUUCGUUAGUCUCGCUAAAACUCGAGAACGGCUGGACCGAUUUGGCAAAUUUAGGUCUUGAAUUAUUUGUGGAAGUCCAGAGAAGGUUUAAAAUGUGAAUAAAUAGAAAAAUGCUGCUAAAUUAAAUAAAAACAACAAA